Molecule: ribosomal RNA, 255 nt
Filed under: uncultured bacterium
Lineage: Bacteria
Description: partial 16S ribosomal RNA
Rfam family: Bacterial small subunit ribosomal RNA
Source: RNAcentral
GACGUAGGGCGCGAGCGUUGUCCGGAUUUAUUGGGCGUAAAGAGCUCGUAGGCGGCUUGUCGCGUCGACUGUGAAAACCCGUGGCUCAACCAUGUGGUCUGCAGUCGAUACGGGCAGGCUAGAAUUCGGUAGGGGGAGACUGGAAUUCCUGGUGUAGCGGUGAAAUGCGCAGAUAUCAGGAGGAACACCGGUGGCGAAGGCGGGUCUCUGGGCCGAUAUUGACGCUGAGGAGCGAAAGCGUGGGGAGCGAACAGG